RNAcentral lists this ribosomal RNA (360 nucleotides) under Triticum aestivum (bread wheat). RNAcentral describes it as "partial small subunit ribosomal RNA". Lineage: Eukaryota; Viridiplantae; Streptophyta; Magnoliopsida; Poales; Poaceae. The record is from RNAcentral.
AUGGAAAUAUGGGAAAAUUCGAAUCUGAACCCGAGCUCAUCUGCACCUGCGCUCACGAAAAAAAUCAAAAUAAAUACUAAAGAAAUUCAAAAAAUUCCAAAAAAAAUUGGGGUGGUGGACAAUUUGAUGCGCGAGGUACGCUCCAAUUUUCAAAACAUUUGGACUUCUGUGCAGCUCUCAGCAAAAAAGACAAAUCGGAGGUCUGUAAAAAUGUGUACUGUUCAUAUACUGUUCUGGUCUGAUUUGUCUUUUUUGCUGAGAGCUGCACAGAAGUCCAAAUGUUUUGAAAAUUGGAGCGUACCUCACGCAUCAAAUUGUCUACCACCCAAAUUUUUUUUGGAAUUUUUUGAAUUUUUCUGA